GCGAGUUGAUGGGAAACCUAAAGUUCCCAUGGCAAACUGCUCAGUAACACAUGAUCAACUUACCCUAUAGAGAAAAAUAACCUCGGGAAACUGAGGAUAAUGUUUCAUAGUUGAAUUGGCUUGGAAAAGUUUUUCGACGAAAGGGGUAAAAAAAAUGGUUUUUAUCUGCUAUAGGAUAGGAUCGUGUUCGAUUAUGGUUGUUGGUGAGGUAAUGGCUCACCAAGCCGAUAAUCGAUAGGGGCCGUGAGAGCGGGAGCCCCGAGAUGGGUACUGAGACAACGACCCAGGCCUUACGAGGCGCAGCAGGCGCGAAACCUCCGCAAUACACGAAAGUGUGACGGGGUUACCCAAAGUGUUCAAUUUGAACUGUGGUAGGUGAGUAAUGUUCCCUACUAGAAAGGAGAGGGCAAGGCUGGUGCCAGCCGCCGCGGUAAAACCAGCUCUUCAAGUGGUCGGGAUAAUUAUUGGGCUUAAAGUGUCCGUAGCCGGUUUAGUAAGUUCCUGGUAAAAUCGGGUAGCUUAACUAUCUAUAUGCUAGGAAUACUACUAUACUAGAGGGCGGGAGAGGUCUGAGGUACUGCAGGGGUAGGGGUGAAAUCUUAUAAUCCUUGUUGGACCACCAGUGGCGAAGGCGUCAGACUGGAACGCGCCUGACGGUGAGGGACGAAAGCCAGGGGAGCGAACCGGAUUAGAUACCCGGGUAGUCCUGGCCGUAAACGAUGCAUACUAGGUGAUGGCACGGCCAUGAG
RNAcentral lists this ribosomal RNA (749 nucleotides) under uncultured archaeon. RNAcentral's name for it is "bacterial SSU rRNA". It matches the Rfam family "Archaeal small subunit ribosomal RNA", at positions 53 to 789 of the family's 1478-position model. The record is from RNAcentral.